CAUUUCUUAGUCCAAUAUGGCGCUCCAGAGCUGUCACGUCAUGACAACAUUUGCUUCAUAUAAAAGUUGUGCAAUCCGUACUUGAAAUAGUAGUUCACAGACUAGUAAUUUGCAUGAAGAAACAGCGUGGAGUUCUCGAAAUUGGAUUUAAAUGUCUAAUUAAAACGUAAAUGUUUGACGAAAAUUUAUAUGUAUGUGUGGCGUGCGUGAAUGAAAUAUUGAUGUAGUGAUGUGUCAAUGACCAUAAAUCGUCUGUGUCAUUUAAGCCCACGUAGGCACGAGAAGCGUCGAUCUGCCAACACUCCCAUCAUCGAUACGAAUGGUGUUAUGGUAGAGAUGAUAAAGACAGUAAGAUUACGCGAGGAGAACGACGUCGUAUUAUCGCAUCUCGCACCAGGUCGGUGCCAAACAGUCGCAAAGUCCUCCCUUGGGCCUGGAAUCGGCUUGCCUUGACGCGACUUGACGACUUUCGGACCGUCCCGCUGCUCGUGCAUCGAUAACGACGAUUGGCGAUGAUAGCGGUAAGUCGUGAUGGGCAAGAACGUGUCUGAGACGUACAAGAACGAGAAGAGAGAGUAUAUAUAUAUAUAAAUGGGCGUUAACAUUCAGUGAAUCAACAGCCGAGAUGAUGGCAGAACAAAUACAUAAAAAUAGUCAUGUACCACUGAUCGAGAGCCACUGUACGAUGCGCACAUAUUCAGGCAUACACAGGCAGAGACAUAGUACACGACGAUGAAUGAAGUAUCGGAGAGAAUUUUAAGCAGCGACACGAUGAAGAUGACGAACGUGCAAUUAAUCUCGAUGGACGUAAGAAGGAAGAGGCUUAGACAGAUUAUAUUCGCGCACGGCGUUUAAUUCGGCUCCUAAUUCAGCAUGCGUGAGCGUGCGUAAAUAAUGAUGAACAAAUA
Molecule: long non-coding RNA, 908 nt
Organism: Trachymyrmex septentrionalis
Lineage: Eukaryota; Metazoa; Arthropoda; Insecta; Hymenoptera; Formicidae
Exons: 3
Source: RefSeq, a predicted model, not a curated record